RNAcentral lists this ribosomal RNA (468 nucleotides) under uncultured bacterium. RNAcentral's name for it is "partial 16S ribosomal RNA". It matches the Rfam family "Bacterial small subunit ribosomal RNA", at positions 28 to 507 of the family's 1533-position model. The record is from RNAcentral.
GACGAACGCUGGCGGCGUGCUUAACACAUGCAAGUCGAACGGAAAGGCCCUGCUUUUGUGGGGUGCUCGAGUGGCGAACGGGUGAGUAACCCGUGAGUAACCUGCCCUUGACUUUGGGAUAACUUCAGGAAACUGGGGCUAAUACCGGAUAGGAGCUCCUGCUGCAUGGUGGGGGUUGGAAAGUUUCGGCGGUUGGGGAUGGACUCGCGGCUUAUCAGCUUGGUGGUGGGGUAGUGGCUUACCAAGGCUUUGACGGGUAGCCGGCCUGAGAGGGUGACCGGCCACAUUGGGACUGAGAUACGACCCAGACUCCUACGGGAGGCAGCAGUGGGGAAUAUUGCACAAUGGGCGGAAGCCUGAUGCAGCAACGCCGCGUGCGGGAUGACGGCCUUCGGGUUGUAAACCGCUGUCGCCUGUGACGAAGCGUGAGUGACGGUAAUGGGUAAAGAAGCACCGGCUAACUACGUG